This 472-nucleotide long non-coding RNA is filed under the name Arabidopsis lyrata. RNAcentral's name for it is "long non-coding RNA (ALYR_LNC002105)". Lineage: Eukaryota; Viridiplantae; Streptophyta; Magnoliopsida; Brassicales; Brassicaceae. The record is from RNAcentral.
UGUAUUCAAAGAAUUAAACAUAAGAGAGACUAGGGUAAAACUACUUACCUUUAGAUCCUUUCCAUAUAUACUAAAUAGUAAAUACUGAAGUUGAAGAAAUAAAAAAUAAAAAAUACUCAAGCUAUGUUAUAUUUUCCAACAAAGAAUUUCAUGAUUUGGCAUUUAAUAAGGUAUAUGUACCGGGAAGAUCGGCCUUGUAGGUGGAAGCAAAUCCAGUAUGGUCGAGGCGGUGGGUAAAUGACGUCAAGUAUUAUAUAUACUGCGCAGUUGUACAAAAUGGCAACUUGGCAAGGUAUAAUAAUAUGGAUGAACGCUAUAUUCAGACAAAUAAAUACUUAAAAAAGAAAGAACUCUUAAGUAUUUCAGUUUUGAACAAAUUAAGGAAAAUUUCGAAAUAAUGGUUUGUAGUAGCCCGGAGGGGAAACAUUACCAUUUUAGUCUAAACACUUCACAAUAUACUUGAAAACAAAUU